AUUGGACAAUGGGGGCAACCCUGAUCUAGCCAUGCCGCGUGAGUGAUGAAGGCCUNAGNNUUGUANANCUCUUUUAGCUGUGANNNNNAUGACGGUAGUCGCAGAAGAAGUCCCGGCUAACUCCGUGCCAGCAGCCGCGGUAAUACGGAGGGGACUAGCGUUGUUCGGAAUUACUGGGCGUAAAGCGCACGUAGGCGGAUCGGAAAGUUGGGGGUGAAAUCCCGGGGCUCAACCCCGGAACUGCCUUCAAAACUAUCGGUCUGGAGUUCGAGAGAGGUGAGUGGAAUUCCGAGUGUAGAGGUGAAAUUCGUAGAUAUUCGGAGGAACACCAGUGGCGAAGGCGGCUCACUGGCUCGAUACUGGCGCUGAGGUGCGAAAGCGUGGGGAGCAAACA
This 394-nucleotide ribosomal RNA is filed under the name uncultured bacterium. RNAcentral's name for it is "partial 16S ribosomal RNA". It matches the Rfam family "Bacterial small subunit ribosomal RNA", at positions 363 to 774 of the family's 1533-position model. The record is from RNAcentral.